UACGAAGGGGGCGAGCGUUGUUCGGAAUUACUGGGCGUAAAGGGCGCGUAGGCGGUUUAGCGAGUCAGGCGUGAAAUUCCCGGGCUUAACCUGGGGGCUGCGCUUGAUACUGCUAGGCUUGAAUUCGGGAGAGGAUGGCGGAAUUCCCAGUGUAGAGGUGAAAUUCGUAGAUAUUGGGAAGAACACCGGUGGCGAAGGCGGCCAUCUGGCCCGGGAUUGACGCUGAGGCGCGAAAGCGUGGGGAGCAAACAGGAUUAGAUACCCUGGUAGUCCACGCCGUAAACGAUGAGUGCUAGACGUUGGCGGGCUUGCCCGUCAGUGUCGCAGCUAACGCAUUAAGCACUCCGCCUGGGGAGUACGGCCGCAAGGUUAAA
Molecule: ribosomal RNA, 374 nt
Filed under: uncultured bacterium
Lineage: Bacteria
Description: bacterial SSU rRNA
Rfam family: Bacterial small subunit ribosomal RNA
Source: RNAcentral